UGAGGAAUAUUGGGCAAUGCCCGCAAGGGUGACCCAGCAACGCCGCGUGGAGGAUGAAUGUCGUAAGAUUGUAAACUCCUGUUAGAGGGGAAGAAUAGUACCGGUUGGACCGGUAUAUGACUGUACCCUCAGAGAAAGCCCCGGCUCACUACGUGCCAGCAGCCGCGGUAAUACGCAGGGGGCAAGCGUUGUCCGGAUUUACUGGGUGUAAAGGACGCGCAGGCGGGAUAAAAAGUCAGUGGUGAAAUCCUACAGCUUAACUGUAGAACUGCCUUUGNUACUUUUAUUCUUGAGUUCGGGAGAGCGAGACGGAAUUCCAGGUGUAGUGGUGAAAUACGUAGAUAUCUGGAAGAACACCAGUUGCGAAGGCGGUCUCCUGGUCCGACACUGACGCUGAGGCGCGA
Molecule: ribosomal RNA, 404 nt
Filed under: uncultured bacterium
Lineage: Bacteria
Description: bacterial SSU rRNA
Rfam family: Bacterial small subunit ribosomal RNA
Source: RNAcentral